GUGCCCGUAGCUCAAUUGGAUAGAGCAUCUGACUACGAAUCAGAAGGUUGGGAGUUCGAGUCUCUCCGGGCGCGCCA
RNAcentral lists this transfer RNA (77 nucleotides) under Rhodospirillaceae bacterium. RNAcentral describes it as "tRNA-Arg". It matches the Rfam family "tRNA". Rfam says of the family: Transfer RNA (tRNA) molecules are approximately 80 nucleotides in length. Lineage: Bacteria; Pseudomonadati; Pseudomonadota; Alphaproteobacteria; Rhodospirillales; Rhodospirillaceae. The record is from RNAcentral. RNAcentral also lists the same sequence under 3 other names.